RNAcentral lists this ribosomal RNA (254 nucleotides) under uncultured bacterium. Its description in RNAcentral is "partial 16S ribosomal RNA". It matches the Rfam family "Bacterial small subunit ribosomal RNA", at positions 524 to 776 of the family's 1533-position model. The record is from RNAcentral.
UACGGGGGGAGCAAGCGUUGUUCGGAUUUACUGGGCGUAAAGGGCGCGUAGGCGGCCACCGCAAGUCAAUUGUGAAAUCUCCGGGCUUAACUCGGAAAGGUCAACUGAUACUGCGGGGCUAGAGUGCGGAAGGGGCAACUGGAAUUCUCGGUGUAGCGGUGAAAUGCGUAGAUAUCGAGAGGAACACCAGUGGCGAAGGCGGCUUCCUGGCCUGUUCUUGACGCUGAGGCGCGAAAGCUAGGGUAGCAAACGGG